GACGGAGGAUGCAAGUGUUAUCCGGAAUCACUGGGCGUAAAGCGUCUGUAGGUGGUUUAAAAAGUCCACUGUUAAAGGUUGAAGCUUAACUUCAAAAAUGCCGUGGAAACUUUUAAACUUGAGUAUGAUAGGGGUAGAGGGAAUUUCCAGUGGAGCGGUGAAAUGCGUAGAUAUUGGAAAGACCACCGAUGGCGAAGGCACUCUACUGGGCCAUUACUGACACUGAGAGACGAAAGCUAGGGGAGCAAAUGGG
RNAcentral lists this ribosomal RNA (253 nucleotides) under uncultured bacterium. Its description in RNAcentral is "partial 16S ribosomal RNA". It matches the Rfam family "Bacterial small subunit ribosomal RNA", at positions 524 to 776 of the family's 1533-position model. The record is from RNAcentral.